AUGGACGCACGUGCCGGCACCCCGCUCACCCCAUCCUAUAGCCGCGACCCCUCCACCGCUGCCGCCUCCGCCGCCGCUGCAAACCCUAGCGUGGGGGGCGUUGGCCUCGCCUCCGCCGGAGCUCCUCCGACCAUUGGUCUCGCGCGCGGACUCUUCAUGCCACCGCGGAUGACCUUGGCGGCGGGUGGUGUCGCGCUGGCGCCGGCCCGAGCCGCCGGCCCCUCCUCGAAGCUCCCCAAUGCGGCACGGCCAAAGAAGGGCAAGACAUCGGCGAAGAAGAACAAGGCGGCGGACGGCUCCGGCACCUCGAAGGCGAGGAGGAAGAAGCUUGCAGGGCGUGCAACGGGCGCGGCGGCUACCGAAGCGCCGGCGAGCUCACUCGUUGAGCUGGCGGCCGACGCGCACAACAUGUUCGACGAAAUGCCCCCAAGUCUCAAUGAUGAUGCAUACAUGUCAACUAUGGGUGUUGGCUCCAACAAUUCGCAUUGGUCUCAAACCAAAGACAUGCAUUUCGAAGACCAUGAGUUCGAGGUGGACGAGGAGGGUGAGGGCAUUGUCGACGCGCCGAAAGGAAGAGCGGGAAAUUACACCAACGUCGAUGACAUCUUACUAUGCAAUACUUGGUUGCAAGUGUCGAGGGAUCCAUCCAUUGGAGGUGAUCAAAGUAGAGAGGCUUAUUGGGGGCGGAUGAAAGAACAUUUUCAUGUUCACAACGUGAGUGGAAUUGACCGCUCUGAGAGAUCACUUCGGUCCCGAUGGUCGACAAUCAACUCGGAUUGUCAAAGGUGGGCGGCCUGUCAAAAGGCGGUUGACAAGUUGAACCCAAGUGGCACAAAUGAGGACGAUAGAUACAACAUUGCACAAAACUUGUUCAAAGAAGAGGAGAGGAAAACCAAGAAGGGGAAGAUCAAUAAAGAAAGGGUCUUUACCUUGCCUCAUUGCUAUAAUGUGUUGAAGGAUGAUGAGAAAUGGAAGAAGCGUGAAGAUUUGGAUGAUUUGCAUUUGAGCAACAAACGCAAGCGAACAAUUGAGUUGGACGAUGAUGAUGAGCAGGAGGAUGAUGCAUCAAGUGAUGAUGGCAAGAGAAGCCCCACACCCAACUCGGUUUCAUACUCUAAGCCAAAACGACUGGAUGGGUGCAAGAAAGACAAAACAAAAAAGAAGAAGAGGAAAGGAGAUGAUGAGCUCAAAAAUGCUAUGAAAGCUAUUGUGAAGGCAAGAAAAGAAGCCAACGAGGUGAGGAAAAUGGCAAGGACCCCAGAUGCCGCAGCCGAGGAGAGGAGGUUGGCGUCUGAGGAGAGGAGGGUGGAGGCCAAGGAGAGGAAGGUGAGCAAUGAUGAGCGAACAAGAUUGUUGGAAUGGGAGAAGCACUUAGCCAUGAUUCGUGCAAUGGGUGGCGGUGGCCUUGGCGCUAUGGGUGGUGGUGGCCUCGGCGCCAUGGGUGGCGGUGGCCUUGGCGCCAUGGGUGGCAUGGGUGGCUUCGGAGGUACCGUGGGCGAUUUAGGUGCCAUGGGAAGCAUGGGUGGCUUUGGAGCACCCCCCGAUGCUAUGGCCGCCAUGGGAGGCAUGAGUUUUACUUCUCUCAUGGGAGGCACGGGUGCACCUCCGGCCGCCAUGGGCGAAAUGUCUUUUGAUGUGCCUCCUCACACACAUUCCCAUGAAGAUGCCGUUGAAGAUCUUGCCAACACCGCCGGAGCUUCACGUGAUGCGGUGCGCGGUGAGGAGAGGGAGGAAGAUUCAUCUUCGGAGGCGGAAGAAUCGUCUUCGGAAGAUGAGGAUGAAGACAAGGACGAGGAUUGA
This 1800-nucleotide ribosomal RNA is filed under the name Triticum aestivum (bread wheat). RNAcentral describes it as "partial small subunit ribosomal RNA". The record is from RNAcentral. Lineage: Eukaryota; Viridiplantae; Streptophyta; Magnoliopsida; Poales; Poaceae.